This 1108-nucleotide ribosomal RNA is filed under the name Dunaliella salina. Its description in RNAcentral is "small subunit ribosomal RNA". The stretch from base 1 to 789 matches the Rfam family "Bacterial small subunit ribosomal RNA", at positions 192 to 1533 of the family's 1533-position model. Lineage: Eukaryota; Viridiplantae; Chlorophyta; Chlorophyceae; Chlamydomonadales; Dunaliellaceae. The record is from RNAcentral.
GAUCGUUUCCUUUAUUUAAUAUAAAGAAUACGAUUAUCUCGCGUCAAAUUAGGUAAUAGGUAUCUGUGACUAAAUUAAUUUUCCUAGCCUUAUUUGUAGUUUGUCUUAAACGUAACAAAUCACAAGGGCCAUGAAAGAAAGGCCUUCCAUCUUUGUAUGGCAGCAGUGCGUAAAAUUUGUCAAUACGUGAAAGCGUGAACAUGAUGUUUAUUAAAGCAAAUAUUUUAUAUAAUUGUUAAAGUUCCGGCAAAUUCCGUGCCAGCAGCCGCGGUAAGACGGAAGGAGCUAGCUUAUUACGUAAGAAAUAGGUAAAAUCGAGUGUAGGUGUAAUAGUCAUAUAAGUGUAGCAUAAUUUAGUGUGUAACAGUAAAAUGUUGAAAAAUACUAAGGAAUGUCAAAGGUGUAGACAGCUUAUCUUAUUAAAUUAACUCCUUUUUUUUAACAAUAUAAGGAAAAGACUUUAAAUUUUUACUCGGAAGUUCAGGUAGCAAACCGGAUUAGAUACCCGACAUAGUCUGAACCGUCAAAAGGAUGAUUAAAUACAUAAUCAUAUACCUGGUGAUACGUUCUCAAGAAUUGUAAUCAUAGAAAUUGGCAGCCAUAGACAUACGCUGUGGAUCAAAUACAAGAAAAGGGCGUCUCGCGCUCCGCGCCCUAUUCUUUAAAAAAAAGAAUAGGGCGCCUCGCGGAGUCACCCGGCUCCGUCCGGGGGACUCCGCGGGGCGCCUCGCGCUCCGCGCGAGUCACCCGGCUCCGUCCGGGGGACUCCGCGGAAGGUCCAGCCUUUAUUAGUUAAAGGUUUAAUUAACGCUAUAUGCUGAAAACAAACCAACCUAUUAUACAGUAAUACGAUAUUACAAUAAUACGAUAUUACGAUAAUACGAUUAUACGUUUGCAUCAGCAGAAAACUGAAAAAUAAGGCGCCUCGCGCUCCGCGCGAGUCACCCGGCUCCGUCCGGGGGACUCCGCGGCAGGAUUCUCAGAGACUAUACGCGUUACAAUCUUAUUUAUAUGAUUGAUGAUAUAGUCCGAUUCUUUUUAAUAAGAAUUGCAUGCGGUUUAAUAGGAAGCAACGCCUAAAACCUUACCAUUCAUUUCCGAUAAUUAA